GCUCCUAGUACGAGAGGACCGGAGUGGACGCAUCACUGGUGUUCUGGUUGUCAUGCCAAUGGCACUGCCCGGUAGCUAAAUGCGGAAGAGAUAAGUGCUGAAAUCAUCUAAGCACGAAACUUGCCCCGAGAUGAGUUCUCCCUGAGACUUUAAGUCUCCUGAAGUAACGUUGAAGACGACGACGUUGAUAGGCCGGGUGUGUAAGCGCAUCGAUGCGUUGAGCUAACCGGUACUAAUGAACCGUGAGUCUUAACCUA
Molecule: ribosomal RNA, 257 nt
Filed under: Klebsiella variicola
Lineage: Bacteria; Pseudomonadati; Pseudomonadota; Gammaproteobacteria; Enterobacterales; Enterobacteriaceae
Description: partial 23S ribosomal RNA
Rfam family: Bacterial large subunit ribosomal RNA
Source: RNAcentral